RNAcentral lists this ribosomal RNA (471 nucleotides) under uncultured bacterium. Its description in RNAcentral is "bacterial SSU rRNA". It matches the Rfam family "Bacterial small subunit ribosomal RNA", at positions 8 to 507 of the family's 1533-position model. The record is from RNAcentral.
AGAGUUUGAUCCUGGCUCAGGAUGAACGCUGGCGGCGUGCCUAACACAUGCAAGUCGAGCGAUUCUCUUCGGAGAAGAGCGGCGGACGGUGAGUAACGCGUGGGUAACCUGCCCUGUACACACGGAUAACAUACCGAAAGGUAUGCUAAUACGAGAUAAUAUGCUUUUAUCGCAUGGUAGAAGUAUCAAAGCUUUUGCGGUACAGGAUGGACCCGCGUCUGAUUAGCUAGUUGGUAAGGUAACGGCUUACCAAGGCGACGAUCAGUAGCCGACCUGAGAGGGUGAUCGGCCACAUUGGAACUGAGACACGGUCCAAACUCCUACGGGAGGCAGCAGUGGGGAAUAUUGCACAAUGGGCGAAAGCCUGAUGCAGCAACGCCGCGUGAGCGAUGAAGGCCUUCGGGUCGUAAAGCUCUGUCCUCAAGGAAGAUAAUGACGGUACUUGAGGAGGAAGCCCCGGCUAACUACGUG